This 253-nucleotide ribosomal RNA is filed under the name uncultured bacterium. RNAcentral describes it as "partial 16S ribosomal RNA". It matches the Rfam family "Bacterial small subunit ribosomal RNA", at positions 524 to 776 of the family's 1533-position model. The record is from RNAcentral.
GACAGAGGGUGCAACCGUUGUUCGGAAUCACUGGGCGUAAAGCGCGUGUAGGCGGCUUCUCAAGUCGGGUGUGAAAUCCCAGGGCUCAACCCUGGAAGUGCAUUCGAAACUGGGUAGCUAGAGUACUGGAGAGGAAGGUGGAAUGCUUGGUGUAGAGGUGAAAUUCGUAGAUAUCAAGCGGAACACCGGUGGCGAAGGCGGCCUUCUGGACAGAUACUGACGCUGAGACGCGAAAGCGUGGGGAGCAAACAGG